Benincasa hispida (wax gourd) is the source of this 566-nucleotide non-coding RNA. The record is from RefSeq and is a predicted model, not a curated record. NCBI's taxonomy places the organism in Eukaryota, Viridiplantae, Streptophyta, Magnoliopsida, Cucurbitales, Cucurbitaceae.
CUGUAGUGCCCUUUACAAGUUGGGAGCACUGAAUGCAGAUACUACGUCAUGAGAUUGAUACAAGGAACUCGUACUCACAAAUCAAGUUAGACGAGGUGCAAGUUGAGCUGGCUGAAUUUUUGGAUUGCUACAUGUGAUAGUAAGUGCUCGCACAAUUUGGUCAUUUUGAAGAAAAGUAUUUGUUCUGGCUGAGUUUCUAGAUUUCCUUCACAUAUUGAUAUAGAUGUAAUAUUUUUUUGGAAUUGAUCAUAUGUAAGGGUGGUUAAUUGUAGUUUUGGAAAGGUAGUUAAUUGUUCAUAUGUGUUCAUGUGGAGACGAUGAUUGCAAAAGUGGUUUUGAUAGUUGUUAUGGGGAGAAUAUAGUUUUGUUAAUAUGGGGUGGAUGGUAGUUUUGAUAGAAGUUUUGGAAAUGUAGUUUUUAAAUUGUUCAUAUUGGGUUGCCCAUAUUCUUCUAGUUAACUUAGAAAAUCCUUUAUGAAGUUACAAAGUUUUAUAAUGACAAUGUUGAAGAAUGUUAUCUUGUGUCAAAGGUAUUGGAGGAAAUUUUGGUUCAUAAGAUUGAAAAUG